AUGAGAACACCUAGCAUGGUGGCCUGGAAAGGUCAGUUUUACUUUGACUUUUUUCAGUUCAACAUGGAAGCCAGAGAGGAAGAUGGUGGCAAAGCCAACGCUAACUUGAAAAGGCAGAGAGAACCUCUGUCAGACUCCGAAGGCAAUGCUGUCCCAGCCCCAGAAAUGAAAGAUGGGCUGAAGCGGCGGCGUCUGGAGGCAGCUGGUAGGGAGAACCAAAGUCCUAAACCGUCCACCUCUGGAAGACUGGCUGCGCUACAGACAAAACCAGACACGCCGAUGAUUCCCUCAGUCCGUUCACGAGUUCAGCUGCUCGCCCAGAGAAGAGAUGUUCAGCGUUGCUUUUCUGAUCCCGGAGCUGAAGGUUCAUCAGUUAAUACCAAAGACAUCAAAGGGCAUCUCCUUGGCGAAGAAGAAUUUAAUGAAAGACUGGAGCGUUUUAAAGCACCUGUUUUCCAGGCCAGCCCCACCCCAGCAGAGAUUCCUGCCAAUCCCAGCCCACGGGCCCGCUCCCGCUUCGUCUCUGGCAUUCAGCAGAAACUCCAGUGCUCAACAACCCCCAGCUCGAAGCAGGCUUUCAGCAUACGCCAGGAACGAGAACGGGAGCUGAACCAGCUGUCUUUCCAGCCAAUUAGUGAGAACGCCUGGCUGAAAAGGAGCAACUCCGAUUCAUCAUUAACAAGCGUAAGUUUGUCAUACUUUAUCUGUUAG
This 711-nucleotide long non-coding RNA is filed under the name Nothobranchius furzeri (turquoise killifish). Its description in RNAcentral is "lncRNA (ENSNFUG00015015664.1)". The record is from RNAcentral. Lineage: Eukaryota; Metazoa; Chordata; Actinopteri; Cyprinodontiformes; Nothobranchiidae.